UACGUAGGAUCCUAGCGUUAUCCGGAUUUACUGGGUGUAAAGGGUGCGCAGGCGGACUUGUAAGUCAGGGGUGAAAUCUCAUCGCUUAACGGUGAAACUGCCUUUGAUACUAUAAGUCUUGAGUUUGGUAGAGAUCCGUGGAAUUCCGAGUGUAGCAGUGAAAUGUGUAGAUAUUCGGAAGAACACCAGUGGCGAAGGCAGCGGAUUGGGCCAAUACUGACGCUCAGGCACGAAAGCAUGGGGAUCAAACAGG
RNAcentral lists this ribosomal RNA (253 nucleotides) under uncultured bacterium. RNAcentral describes it as "partial 16S ribosomal RNA". It matches the Rfam family "Bacterial small subunit ribosomal RNA", at positions 524 to 776 of the family's 1533-position model. The record is from RNAcentral.